ACCAAAAUUAAUAUGGCGUGUUUGGUUACAAAGUGUUUGAUUUCCUUGGUACAUGUAGCAAUGGAUUCUAAGAACUGGAGAAAAAAGCCUUCAUGCAGCAGACUUAAAAUUUAUGGAGAAUAAAAUUUAGUAACAUGCACUUGUAAGGUAAUGAAAAAAUAAUUAUAAGUCUUUCUUAUUUCUUGCAUAUGUACAAUAUCUUCACUGAUCUUAACUUUCUUUGAGUUUCUUCCUUUUUAAAUAAAUUGGUCUAAACUGAUCGAGUCAAUGCUAUUUUAUGUUUCUAUUGGAAGUGGAACGAAACAGGCAGCACAUAGGUUGAAAAUUAUAUUUGUUUUAGCUUUUAAAAGCGGCGGAACUUCAUGGAAAUCUAACCCAGGCCCAGCGUCUAGAUGCCUUGAAACUUUUCAGGAAGCAGGAAAUAGAUAUUCUUGACUGCGACAGAUGCUGCUGCUUGUGAAUCUCAGGAAAGACAAAAUGGUUCUGGAAGUGAGGUGAUUAGUGCCGAACAAGCAGAGGAAAAGAGAAAGCAACAGAGAGAGAAAAAUUUGCCUAGGAAGUGAAGGAGGAAAUUGGAAGCUGCUAGAGAGAUGCUAGAAGAGGAAAAUGAUGCAUGUGUAUUUCCGUUUUCUUUUUUUCUUUUUUUUUUUUUUAUUCUUUUUGUACCAUGUUGAAUUAGUUUACAUUUUCUUAUAUUGAAAUUCAUAUCGUAUACAUCAAUGGUGCAAAGGGAUUUCAACGUAGCUUGUGAUGCAAAUAUUGGCUAAAUUAUUUCAUACAUAUACAAUAACGAUGGGGUAUUUUGCACAACUAUG
Long non-coding RNA from Olea europaea var. sylvestris, 815 nucleotides. RefSeq lists it as uncharacterized. NCBI's taxonomy places the organism in Eukaryota, Viridiplantae, Streptophyta, Magnoliopsida, Lamiales, Oleaceae. The transcript is spliced from 4 exons. The record is from RefSeq and is a predicted model, not a curated record.